Chiroxiphia lanceolata (lance-tailed manakin) is the source of this 2421-nucleotide long non-coding RNA. RefSeq lists it as uncharacterized. Lineage: Eukaryota; Metazoa; Chordata; Aves; Passeriformes; Pipridae. The record is from RefSeq and is a predicted model, not a curated record. The transcript is spliced from 2 exons.
GCGCCGCAUCCCCCCCGCACCCCCGCGGCCCCCCGGGGGGGUUGAGCCCCGGGAGGGCCCCGAGGGGUUACAAUGACCCGCGGGACACAAAACCGCAUCAAAAGCCCCGCUGGGAGGUGGUUUUUCCAGCGCUGCCGAGCCCGGCCCGUGUGACAGCGAGCGGCGCGGGGCAGGGACGGAGCGAAGGUCGCGGGCUGGGAGCCACCGGGACAGUCGCUGCUGACCUUUAAAACUUAACUCCGGGAACACGUAACGCCGGCUGGGGGAAAGGAUGGAACUGGUUAUACUGGCAUGCUGAAAUAAAGAUUGUCAAGCCUCGUCUCACCCUGGAUGACACCAAGGGAGUUGACCUUUUAACAGCAGCAACAAACUCGGCAUGGAACAAGAUUUAAAGCUUGCACUGGGAAGGAGUUUCUCCAGCGGUUUUGUACCACAGGGAAAGGGCCAGGUCUGAUUCCUGACGCUCCCUCGAGCAACUGAGCAUCAGCAGUUUGUUGGAUGUAACCUGAAAGCUGUGAUGAACUUUGGGCAUCACCUCACCCAGUGUGGUCCUCAAGGGCCAUCAACUGCAUCAGAAAUGGAAGCAGUGGAGAAAAAGAUGGAGUUUUAUCAAGUGUAAUGCAAUACUUUGUCAUUUCCUGAAGUUUGCCCUCUAGUCAAAGGCCUCAAAAGAGCACAGACCCUGUUCCUAAAUGGGAUCAUUCAGGGAAGGAGGGAGGAGGGGCAGAGGGAGAUAAGAUGCACAGUAUUUUUUUACAUAAACAAAACUCAAGCGUUUCCAAAGUGACCAGCACCUCAUCCCUCUGCCAUCAAAUCUACCACUCAGAACUGCAAGACAGGAGCUUUCCCCAACUCCAAACCACACUGGCUCCACCUCAUCAACUGCAGAACAACAAAAUGGAAGUAAACUGAAAAUAUACUUGGAAGCAUUUUUUUGGUAACCACUUUUCACUCCCAGACCUCAGAUUUCAGAAAUGGAAGCACAGAGACAUCAGCUUUCUGAGACACCCACACAUUUCAGUAGCAGUCAGAUCACAAAAGCAGUAGGUUUGAACAAGAAUGACAUAAAAAUAAACCAAACCUCAUCAGUUGUAUUCCAGGGAAUGAACCAACUUAAUGUGGUCAGGAGCACCCUUCUGUGAAAACCAGGGAAGAGCCUGAAUCCGCUCUGAAGGCAGGAGAACUCUCACCAAGGCUCUUCUCCAGCACAAAUGGGUUAACAGCAUCAACAUCACUAAACCUGGGAAUAUUUUUGGUAUAGUGUCCCCUCCCCUGCUCCCCUGGACAGAAGCCCAGCACUGGGGACUGCAGAAAACAGCCAGUCCCAAAUGUUAAAGCAAUUACAGGUAUUAAAAUCCUUCACUUUCUACACCCAGGCUGCUUUAGAAAGCACUGUAACAGCGAGGAAUAAAACAUUACAAAGUUACUGAAACAAGAAAAUGAACUCUAAUUCCUUUAGACUUUGAGGUACAUUAACAGCAAUUGGGUUAUCAGCCUCCAGAGUUAAAACCAAAAUCUAACCUGUGUGACUGAACACCACCAAGGUACUUGGAAGACAUCCCACAUAUCCCUAAGAGCUGCUCUCAGCAGUGUCCGUGGCAUUUGGCUUCACCAAACUGCUCCAACGGAUUCCUGGGGUCAAGGGUCCCUUGGCUGGGCUGAACUGAGCAAACUUGGGGGGGGGAGGGAGGGAAAAACGAGUGAAAUAUAAAUAAUUCACAAACUGGUUUGUGCAAAUUUUUUUUAUUUCCACAUUUAUAUCACAACGUGUCCACUUAAAGGACCAAAUAGCAAAGUUGCUCCCUUCUGCAUCCCAGGAACACAGAAGUCUAGUUACUGUACAUUCACUAAGGCUCUUUGUUUUUGCAAAUUGCGUUUAUGAUGGAUAUCCAUAAGGCAAACAAUAUCUAAAGGAAUGGUAACAAGUAUAUUUCCAGCAUACAAACAGGCUUCCUUUUUCCCUCUCACAGUACAGUUACAAACUUGUAGCACCCUCAUUACAUUUAGAUUCUAGAAAAGGUGAUUUUUCUUUUUAUUUUUUUUGUCCUUUUUUUGUUUUUGUUUUUUUUUGUUUUUUUUUUUUUUUUAACCUAGAAGUUUGCAGGAAGGGAAAAGGAGGAAAAAUAUUUGGCUGGUGGUGGUGGGAUCAAAAAAUAUCGUUAAACAUCUAGUUUUUGCAGCAUUUCUCAGAGACUGGAUUUAAACUGAAACCAGACUAAAGGAUGUGGAUGCCUAUGGAAUGUUGAGCUGAAGCUGGAGGCCCAGCCUGCAGUGCAACACCUGCUGUUUAAAACCCAAUCUCCGUUCACCACAUGACUUUAGACCAACGCAAUCAUGUCCAGAGAUGUGAUAGAAAUAAAACUACAGUUUUUGCACAUUGUCUCUCGAAUAUCUCACUGCCAAAUAAUAAAAAAAAAAAAA